CAGUACUGAUCAUUACCGAGUUUACACUCCCAACCCAAUUGCUUGAACGUUACCAAACUGUUGCCUCGGCGGGGUCACGCCCCGGGUGCGUCGCAGCCCCGGAACCAGGCGCCCGCCGGAGGAACCAACCAAACUCUUUCUGUAGUCCCCUCGCGGACGUAUUUCUUUACAGCUCUGAGCAAAAAUUCAAAAUGAAUCAAAACUUUCAACAACGGAUCUCUUGGUUCUGGCAUCGAUGAAGAACGCAGCGAAAUGCGAUAAGUAAUGUGAAUUGCAGAAUUCAGUGAAUCAUCGAAUCUUUGAACGCACAUUGCGCCCGCCAGUAUUCUGGCGGGCAUGCCUGUCCGAGCGUCAUUUCAACCCUCGAACCCCUCCGGGGGAUCGGCGUUGGGGAUCGGGACCCCUCACACGGGUGCCGGCCCCUAAAUACAGUGGCGGUCUCGCCGCAGCCUCUCCUGCGCAGUAGUUUGCACAACUCGCACCGGGAGCGCGGCGCGUCCACGUCCGUAAAACACCCAACUUUCUGAAAUGUUGACCUCGGAUCAGGAAGGAAUACCCCGCUGAACUUAAGCAUAUCAAUAAAGCAGAGGAA
Molecule: ribosomal RNA, 592 nt
Filed under: Trichoderma asperellum
Lineage: Eukaryota; Fungi; Ascomycota; Sordariomycetes; Hypocreales; Hypocreaceae
Description: eukaryotic LSU rRNA
Rfam family: 5.8S ribosomal RNA (bases 201-354)
Source: RNAcentral